Long non-coding RNA from Pezoporus occidentalis (night parrot), 1107 nucleotides. RefSeq lists it as uncharacterized. The record is from RefSeq and is a predicted model, not a curated record. The transcript is spliced from 2 exons. NCBI's taxonomy places the organism in Eukaryota, Metazoa, Chordata, Aves, Psittaciformes, Psittacidae.
UUGCUAAUAUAGCCAUAGCCAAAAAAUAUACCUGCUCCCUAAAUCAGGACAUUUUGCUACAGAAAAUGCAUUCAAAUAAAGCAGUGUUGGGAUGAAUUUAUCAAUUAUGGAACUUCACAGAUUUCACUGGCAUUGAAUGACAGUUAAUCAGUGACAUUACAAAAUAUGCAAAUCUGGAUCAAAUCAUUAAUAUAGGCAAAUAUAGGCAAAAUAUUAAAGAUAUAAAUGAAAAAGAUAUAAAAUGACAGUUCUUUAAUUGUAUACCACCUCAAGAAGGUGAAAUAAGUACCUUCCAGUAAUAAUUUAUCAACUAGUGAAAACUACAAAGUUGCUAUGAAUUCAGAAAUGUAAAUAUCUCUGUUAGAUGAAAGCCUAUAAAUCUCAUAAACUCUGUUAUGGGAGUCACAGAAUUACUCAAAAAAAAACCCCAAAAGAACAUAUUUACUAAAGAAGAAACUGUGUUUAGACUUCAGUUUCCCAAAUCCUCGUCAUGCCAUUACUCAUUCUCUCCUAGGAGGAAAGAUCCUGAAUGCAGCAUGCAGAGGUUUGAUAACCAAGUGGCUAGAUUUGGAACAGAUUUUUGAGGAAGCUUGUGUCACUUCAGUGAAGUGGCUUGAAGGAUAAUAGAAGCACGUCCAGUAGAUCUGUGUCAGUGCAGAGUCCAGUUCUUGUGUUUGUCAGACAUGUGGCCAAGAAAUACUCUCACAGCCUAGGAAACUAGUUGUACAGCAUUUCGUGUCUUGGCAAGGAAGGCAGCUCCUUCAGCUUUCAGCACCGCAUUGCAAGCUCCAGAUCAAAUCCUGCUUUCACAUACAGCACAGUGAGAGGAUUAUGGCCCCCCUUACCCUUUCCCAUUCACUACAGUUUUAUGAGUGGUGUUUUGUUUCAGUACAGAGGCAUGCUGAGCCCUAUGGACUACUACUCUGCACUUACAUUCAGUUAUUUCUACCUGGGCAGCUGGCACUUGUGACCUGAUGGCGUUUUACAGACUUUACCUCAUUGUUACUAACAAUACAAAGGGCAAAAAGCAAGAGUAAGUAACUUGGACCCUGUCAUACUGAAUUCUAUCAUUUAUAUAGCAUGUGAGCACACCUAAAUCUCAGACUC